AAUGAACGCUGGCGGCAGGCCUAAACAUGCAAGUCGAACGCUGUAGCAAUACAGAGUGGCGCACGGGUGAGUAACAUGUGGGAAUAUGCCUAUUGGUACGGAACAACGUUUGGAAACGAACGCUAAUACCGUAUGGUCCCUUCGGGGUAAAGAUUUAUCGCCAAUAGAUUAGCCCGCACUAGAUUAGCUAGUUGGUGAGGUAAGAGCUCACCAAGCCGACGAUCGGUAGCUGGUCUGAGAGGAUGAUCAGCCACACUGGGACUGAGAUACGGCCCAGACUCCUACGGGAGGCAGCAGUGGGAAUAUUGGACAAUGGGGGCAACCCUGAUCCAGCAAUGCCGCGUGAGUGAUGAAGGCCUUAGGGUUGUAAAGCUCUUUUGCCAGGGAAGAUGAUGACUGUACCUGGAGAAUAAGCCCGGCUAACUCGUGCCAGCAGCCGCGGUAAU
RNAcentral lists this ribosomal RNA (446 nucleotides) under uncultured bacterium. Its description in RNAcentral is "bacterial SSU rRNA". It matches the Rfam family "Bacterial small subunit ribosomal RNA", at positions 29 to 524 of the family's 1533-position model. The record is from RNAcentral.